This 188-nucleotide non-coding RNA is filed under the name Anoxybacillus sp. B7M1. RNAcentral describes it as "Lysine riboswitch aptamer". It matches the Rfam family "Lysine riboswitch aptamer". From Rfam's summary of the family: Riboswitches are metabolite binding domains within certain messenger RNAs that serve as precision sensors for their corresponding targets. Allosteric rearrangement of mRNA structure is mediated by ligand binding, and this results in modulation of gene expression. RNAcentral also lists the same sequence under 1 other name. Lineage: Bacteria; Bacillati; Bacillota; Bacilli; Caryophanales; Anoxybacillaceae. The record is from Rfam by way of RNAcentral.
CGAUGAGGUAGAGGUUGCGGCUUUUAUGAGUACAGCGAACGAGAUGCAGAGAACAUUGAAGACUUCGCUCGAAAGGAAAAGCCGCCGAAGUUGGCACAUUUCUCUGGAUGUGCGAACUGGGGCUGUCACCGAAUAGGGGCAGCACUGUCACGGUUUGCGUAAAGCAACCGUGGGGCGCUAUCUUCACG